Molecule: ribosomal RNA, 419 nt
Filed under: Bacteroides fragilis
Lineage: Bacteria; Pseudomonadati; Bacteroidota; Bacteroidia; Bacteroidales; Bacteroidaceae
Description: bacterial SSU rRNA
Rfam family: Bacterial small subunit ribosomal RNA
Source: RNAcentral
UAUCUUCAGUUACUAACAGGUCAUGCUGAGGACUCUGGAGAGACUGCCGUCGUAAGAUGUGAGGAAGGUGGGGAUGACGUCAAAUCAGCACGGCCCUUACGUCCGGGGCUACACACGUGUUACAAUGGGGGGUACAGAAGGCAGCUACCUGGUGACAGGAUGCUAAUCCCAAAAGCCUCUCUCAGUUCGGAUCGAAGUCUGCAACCCGACUUCGUGAAGCUGGAUUCGCUAGUAAUCGCGCAUCAGCCACGGCGCGGUGAAUACGUUCCCGGGCCUUGUACACACCGCCCGUCAAGCCAUGGGAGCCGGGGGUACCUGAAGUACGUAACCGCAAGGAGCGUCCUAGGGUAAAACUGGUGACUGGGGCUAAGUCGUAACAAGGUAGCCGUACCGGAAGGUGCGGCUGGAACACCUCCUUU